Molecule: ribosomal RNA, 136 nt
Filed under: uncultured bacterium
Lineage: Bacteria
Description: partial 16S ribosomal RNA
Rfam family: Bacterial small subunit ribosomal RNA
Source: RNAcentral
UUGGGAAUCUUGGACAAUGGGGGAAACCCUGAUCCAGCCAUGCCGCGUGAGUGAUGAAGGCCUUCGGGUUGUAAAACUCUUUCGACGGGGACGAUAAUGACGGUACCCGUAGAAGAAGCUCCGGCUAACUUCGUGC